Paramisgurnus dabryanus is the source of this 388-nucleotide non-coding RNA. Lineage: Eukaryota; Metazoa; Chordata; Actinopteri; Cypriniformes; Cobitidae. The record is from RefSeq and is a predicted model, not a curated record.
UGACAUUGCAAGGGAGGAGCUUGAAGCGCUCUGAUAUUUUUUAAGGUGGAACGGAUAGUUAGGCGAAUAAGGAGCUGGCGAAUCGGGAGCUGGAUUCAGCCUCCGACUCUGAUGACGGAACCGAGCCAUGUGUAUUUUGAUAAACACUAUGCGCGCUCGAUACAGUAUUUGUAAUAUUUAUAUUAGCAUCUGAUGUCGGAACCGAGCCAUUAGUCUUUUCGCUCGAUAGAUUAUUUGCGACAGUAACAUUAGCGGUUUUGCUAUCCUCAACUAGCGUUCGGAUGCGCGAUUCUAGUUCAGCAACCUUCUCAGUUAACCUUAAUACUUCAAUACACUUAGUGCAUGUAAACCCCUCUAUGCUAACAGCAGAAGCUAAACUAUACAUGUG